RNAcentral lists this transfer RNA (74 nucleotides) under bacterium BMS3Bbin04. RNAcentral describes it as "tRNA-Lys". It matches the Rfam family "tRNA". Rfam says of the family: Transfer RNA (tRNA) molecules are approximately 80 nucleotides in length. The record is from RNAcentral.
GAGGAUGUAGCUCAGUUGGUAGAGCAGGGGCCUUUUAAGCCCAAGGCCGAGGGUUCGAGUCCCUCCAUCCUCAC